GGCGUGUAUAAGACAUGCAAGUCGAACGGGGCAUUUCAGGUAGCAAUAUUUGGGAUGUUCAGUGGCGAACGGGUGCGUAACACGUGGAUAACAUUCCGGGAAGCGGGGGAUAGCCCAGGGAAACUUGGAUUAAUACCGCAUGUGGUCGAAAGACUAAAGGUGGGGACCGCAAGGCCUGCCACUUCCCGAUUGGUCCGCGGCCUAUCAGCUAGUUGGUGAGGUAAUGGCUCACCAAGGCUACGACGGGUAGCUGGUCUUAGAGGACGACCAGCCACACUGGAACUGAGACACGGUCCAGACACCUACGGGUGGCAGCAGUCGAGAAUCUUUCACAAUGGGGGCAACCCUGAUGGAGCGACGCCGCGUGGAGGAUAAGGUCUUCGGAUUGUAAACUCCUGUCAUGCGAGAACAAGGUAGUUGGGUUAAUAACCUAGCUGCUUGAUGGUACCGCAAGAGGAAGAGACGGCUAACUCUGUGCCAGCAGCCGCGGUAAUACAGAGGUCUCAAGCGUUGUUCGGAAUUACUGGGCGUAAAGCGUGCGUAGGCGGCUUGGUAAGUCAGAUGUGAAAUCCCGGGGCUCAACCUCGGAACUGCAUCCGAUACUGUCAGGCUAGAGUAGUGGAGGGGAGUCUGGAAUUCACGGUGUAGCAGUGAAAUGCGUAGAUAUCGUGAGGAACACUAGUGGCGAAGGCGAGACUCUGGACACUUACUGACGCUGAGGCACGAAGGCUAGGGUAGCGAAAGGGAUUAGAUACCCCUGUAGUCCUAGCAGUAAACGGUGCACGUUUGGUGUGGGAGGAUUUGACCCCUUCCGUGCCGGAGCUAACGCGUUUAAACGUGCCGCCUGGGGAGUACGGCCGCAAGGCUAAAACUCAAAGAAAUUGACGGGGACCCGCACAAGCGGUGGAGUAUGUGGCUUAAUUCGAUGCAACGCGAAGAACCUUACCUGGCCUUGACAUGCAUUGCUAAACCGGUGAAAGCCGGGGAGACUUCGGUCACCUUGCACAGACAGGUGCUGCAUGGCCGUCGUCAGCUCGUGUCGUGAGAUGUUUGGUUAAGUCCAGCAACGAGCGCAACCCCUGUGAAUAGUUGCCAGCACGUAAUGGUGGGGACUCUAUUCAGACUGCCCGGGUCAACCAGGAGGAAGGAGGGGAUGACGUCAGGUCAGUAUGGCCCUUACGCCUUGGGCUGCACACGUACUACAAUGCCCAGAACAAUGAGAACCGAUCCCGCGAGGAGGAGGAAAUCUACAAAACUGGGCCCAGUUCGGAUUGGAGGCUGCAACUCGCCUCCAUGAAGUUGGAAUCGCUAGUAAUGGCACAUCAGCUACGGUGCCGUGAAUACGUUCCCGGGUCUUGUACACACCGCCCGUCACAUCAUGGAA
RNAcentral lists this ribosomal RNA (1384 nucleotides) under uncultured prokaryote. RNAcentral describes it as "partial 16S ribosomal RNA". It matches the Rfam family "Bacterial small subunit ribosomal RNA", at positions 41 to 1409 of the family's 1533-position model. The record is from RNAcentral.